UACGUAGGGUGCUAGCGUUGUCCGGAUUUAUUGGGCGUAAAGGGCUCGUAGGCGGUUUGUCGCGUCGGGAGUGAAAACUCAGGGCUUAACCCUGAGCCUGCUUCCGAUACGGGCAGACUAGAGGUAUGCAGGGGAGAACGGAAUUCCUGGUGUAGCGGUGAAAUGCGCAGAUAUCAGGAGGAACACCGGUGGCGAAGGCGGGUCUCUGGGCAGUAACUGACGCUGAGGAGCGAAAGCGUGGGGAGCGAACAGG
Molecule: ribosomal RNA, 253 nt
Filed under: uncultured bacterium
Lineage: Bacteria
Description: partial 16S ribosomal RNA
Rfam family: Bacterial small subunit ribosomal RNA
Source: RNAcentral